GGUAUACAUGCCCUAAAAAAUCAAAUCGAAAGGGAGAUAUAUGGUGUCCCAAUUAGUUGUAACCCAAGAGGGGGUGAAUUAGGUCUAAUGAAACUUAAAUGCUUGAUAGAAAAUUUAAAACAAAAUCAAAUGAUAUAAAAAAUCCAAAAAAAAAAAAAAUUAAAUAAAAUAAAGAAGGGGAAUAUGCCCCAAUAUUCAAUUAAAUUGAAUGAUUUUUUCUUUCUCAAAAUUGAAUGAUUUGAAAUAAAUAACGAUGACUUGUUUCCUAAUUCAAUGGACUUGCUUGAGAUUUAGAUGGAAAGAAAUCAGUAGGAGACAUCCAGUUGAGCCUAUGAUGGAAAAUCUCUACGAAUGGAAAACACGCACAUGGAAAGAAAGAAAAUUGCCUAAGAUGGUUUGAUUUAUUUUUAAUGAUGAAUGAAACCCUAACCCUAUAAGAAGGAGGCAUCCGCAAAGGGAGAGAGGGCCACACAAGAAGAGAGGAGGAGAAAAAAAUAAAAAGAGUUUCGUGCAUCCUUGGGACAUCUAGGAAAGGCGAGGGAGAGAAGAAAAUUGUUUGCUGAGAAUUCAGGAUUGGACGUGCCCACACAAUCAGCUUGAUCUUGACAAUCGAAUGCAGCCCUAUUGUGUUAGCAAUUUCAGGAUUGGAGGAGAAGAGAUCAAGAAGAGAGAAAGAGGAAAAGGAAGCUAGGGCUGCAAGCCAAUAAAAAGAAAAGAAAAAGGAGAAAGCACACAAAAAGGAGUACAUCUUCAAAAGGUUGUAGGGCUACUUUGGAGGCUUGCAACUUGUUAAGGUUUGCUUUUUUCUUAUUUAUGACUUAAAUCUUGCGUCCUUGAUGUUUAUGGAUUAAGUCAAAUUACUUUCUUGAUUUGAAUGGUUGUGGGUUUCCUUUUGAUCCAUAUUUCUUGUUAUGUGACUAUAAUGGUUGUUGAUUUCCUUUUGAUUCAUGUUCCCUUUUAUGUGACUACAAUGGUUGUUGGUUUCCUUUUGAGUCAUGUUACCUUUUACGUGACCACAAUGGUUGUUGGUUUCCUUUUGAUUCAUGUUUCGUUUUAUAUGACCACAAUGGUUGUUGGUCUUCCUUUUUUGAAUCACGACUCCUUAUAUAUGACCAUAAUGUGUUGUUGGUUUCCUUUUGAUCCAUGUUUCAUUAUAUAUGACCAUAAUGGUUGUUGGUUUCUCUUUUAACCAAGUUUCCUUAUAUAUCAGCACAAUAAAUUGUUGAUUGCUUUUAAA
This is a long non-coding RNA of Malania oleifera, 1237 nucleotides long. RefSeq lists it as uncharacterized. NCBI's taxonomy places the organism in Eukaryota, Viridiplantae, Streptophyta, Magnoliopsida, Santalales, Ximeniaceae. The record is from RefSeq and is a predicted model, not a curated record. The transcript has 3 exons.